UACAGAGAGUGCAAGCGUUAAUCGGAAUUACUGGGCGUAAAGCGCACGUAGGUGGAUACUUUAGUCGGGUGUGAAAUCCCCAGGCUUAACCUGGGAACGUGCGUCCGAUACUGGGUAGUCUAGAGUAUAGUAGAGGGAAGUGGAAUUUCCGGUGUAGCGGUGAAAUGCGUAGAUAUCGGAAAGAACACCAGUGGCGAAGGCGGCUUCCUGGACUAAUACUGACACUGAGGUGCGAAAGCGUGGGGAGCAAACAGGAUUAGAUACCCGUGUAGU
This 273-nucleotide ribosomal RNA is filed under the name uncultured bacterium. Its description in RNAcentral is "partial 16S ribosomal RNA". It matches the Rfam family "Bacterial small subunit ribosomal RNA", at positions 524 to 794 of the family's 1533-position model. The record is from RNAcentral.